Molecule: ribosomal RNA, 435 nt
Filed under: uncultured Anaerolineaceae bacterium
Lineage: Bacteria; Bacillati; Chloroflexota; Anaerolineae; Anaerolineales; Anaerolineaceae
Description: bacterial SSU rRNA
Rfam family: Bacterial small subunit ribosomal RNA
Source: RNAcentral
AGCGGAGCGUGUGGUUUAAUUCGAUGCUACACGAAGAACCUUACCAAGGUUGACAUGCAAGUGGUAGUGAUCUGAAAAGUGAACGACCUUCGGGAGCUUGCACAGGUGCUGCAUGGCUGUCGUCAGCUCGUGUCGUGAGAUGUUCGGUUAAGUCCGCUAACGAGCGCAGCCCUCACUGUGUGUUAUACGUGUCACACGGGACUGCCGGUUUUAAGCCGGAGGAAGGCGAGGAUGAAGUCAAGUCAGCAUGGCCUUUAUAUCUUGGGCUACACACACGCUACAAUGGUCUGUACAACAGGUUGCCAAGCCGCGAGGCGGAGCCAAUCCUAAAAGCAGGCCUCAGUUCAGAUUGUAGGCUGCAACCCGCCUGCAUGAAGAUGGAGUUGCUAGUAACCGCAGGUCAGCUAUACUGCGGUGAAUACGUUCCCGGGUCUU